This 492-nucleotide ribosomal RNA is filed under the name uncultured bacterium. RNAcentral's name for it is "partial 16S ribosomal RNA". It matches the Rfam family "Bacterial small subunit ribosomal RNA", at positions 29 to 507 of the family's 1533-position model. The record is from RNAcentral.
AGUGAACGCUGGCGGUAGGCCUAACACAUGCAAGUCGAACGGCAGCACAGUAAGAGCUUGCUCUUACGGGUGGCGAGUGGCGGACGGGUGAGGAAUACAUCGGAAUCUACUUUUUCGUGGGGGAUAACGUAGGGAAACUUACGCUAAUACUGCAUACGACCUACGGGUGAAAGCAGGGGAUCUUCGGACCUUGCGCGAUUGAAUGAGCCGAUGUCGGAUUAGCUAGUUGGCGGGGUAAAGGCCCACCAAGGCGACGAUCCGUAGCUGGUCUGAGAGGAUGAUCAGCCACACUGGAACUGAGACACGGUCCAGACUCCGACGGGAGGCAGCAGUGGGGAAUAUUGGACAAAGGGCGCAAGCCUGAUCCAGCCAUACCGCGUGGGUGAAGAAGGCCUUCGGGUUGUAAAGCCCUUUUGUUGGGAAAGAAAAGCAGCAGGUUAAUACCCCGCUGUUCUGACGGUACCCAAAGAAUAAGCACCGGCUAACUUCGUG